This 253-nucleotide ribosomal RNA is filed under the name uncultured bacterium. Its description in RNAcentral is "partial 16S ribosomal RNA". It matches the Rfam family "Bacterial small subunit ribosomal RNA", at positions 524 to 776 of the family's 1533-position model. The record is from RNAcentral.
UACGAAGGGGGCUAGCGUUGCUCGGAAUCACUGGGCGUAAAGCGCACGUAGGCGGCUUCUUAAGUCAGGGGUGAAAUCCUGGAGCUCAACUCCAGAACUGCCCUUGAUACUGAGAGGCUCGAGUCCGGGAGAGGUGAGUGGAACUCCGAGUGUAGAGGUGAAAUUCGUAGAUAUUCGGAAGAACACCAGUGGCGAAGGCGGCUCACUGGACCGUAACUGACGCUGAGACACGAAAGCGUGGGUAGCAAACAGG